UUUUCCAUGCAUAUCCUCUCUCUCCGGGCAUCCCUGGUCUGCUUCCUCCAUUGUCUGAAAGACCGCAGCAGCCGCACUAAACAGGAAACAUCAAGCUAAAAAGUGUGAACAAUUCAGCCCAUCUCAUGCAGCGCAGGUCACCCUGAUGACAAGCCUGCAGCUCUCGAUUUCUCCUGACAAUGCAAACAGAUGCGUUCAAAGGUAAGUGUUAGCCAACAGACGAGCAAGUUUCACCAUUCUACUCAAACACUUCUGCAGCACUUAGUUUGCUUCACUUGUCUCGUAUCUCUGUGCUGUUGUCCUUCCACUGUGUCAUCGUCUUGUGAAGCAUUCUGUGCAGGUACAGACGGUCUGAAGCCUUGUGUUUUUCCUCUUCUUCGAUCUGCUGCUCUGUCCGUUGUCUCCAACGAGUCCAGGCUCUCUGCAAGUGGCAGCGCUCCUCGUGUAGAAUUGCCUGACAACAGUGUAAAACACCAAAGUGUACUGACGCUGCCUGAUAACACAGUGAUCAAACAAAUCAUGUGGAGGCAACAGACAGGUCAACUCUGCUUGGUCUGGAAAUUAAUCACAACACAAGUACAAAUCGGGGGGGGGGGUUGGUAACUAACUGGUUAUAGACUUCUGCCUUGUGUCUUCUCUGUUUGUGGAGUCUUCUCUUCAGAGUGAACUCAACCCACAAGUCGAAACAACGAGGCAACAUGCGUUCAGCAAACCAAAUUUCUGCACGAUGCUCCAAUUUCUGCAGAAAAACAUGUUUUUGAGUUUGCAAUUAAACUAUACUACACACUAUGUUUACCUACAUUUUGAAUACAUUUAUAACUUUAAUAUAAUGUGUCCUUAUCUCUGCUCUUUAAGUACUGUUCUUGUAUUGGAUCUUAAGAAUACCUGCAUGCGUCUCUGUUCAGCAAGUUUCUCUCUCCAGUGGUGUAAACAGCUGCUCAACAGGAAUGAUCUAGAACAAGUCCACAUUUAUAUCCAAAUCAUGCAAACAGGAACAACUUUAUAUGAAAUAUGCAACAUGUUUGUAGCUUUGAUGCUAAAAACUAAAGCAAUCAAUAUAUGUUUCUCUCUAGGGCAAACAUGUAAAUAAAAGCACCUGUGGUUAGUCAGUGCCAUUUCUGUUAGGGGUUGAAAGCUCUUGUCUUCAGCCUCCUCCAGACGGUCCUGCCACAGCUUCCAAUACUUACAUGCCAUCUAAGAAAAACACAAGCAUUGAAUGUAUAGAACGUUACUUAACAUAUGUAAUUGACUGUGUAAUUUCAGGAUGAUAGAGCGUUCAUCAAUUACAGUUUGAUGAUAAUGUUGGACAGCCAUGUUGUUGUUCAGUCGGUGCGUUUUGUUCCCGAUGACGUUAAGAGAAAGUCCCAUCAGUCCAGCACGCUGCAACAAGAACACACAGUGAUCAAUACAUUAAAUGGCUGCACUCUCUACUUACAUGCAGUCGCUUAAUUUACUCUUUAUCUUACCAGUAAAUGAUGAUGAUGAUGUUGAC
Long non-coding RNA from Sander lucioperca (pikeperch), 1492 nucleotides. RefSeq lists it as uncharacterized. The transcript is spliced from 3 exons. Lineage: Eukaryota; Metazoa; Chordata; Actinopteri; Perciformes; Percidae. The record is from RefSeq and is a predicted model, not a curated record.